CUGAUGCACUUGAGUAGAAGAAGGGGCCCAAACAUUCGAAAUAUCCGGCUGACCUUGAUCUUCGAACAUGACCCCAGGAAUCUUAAGACAUAGGCUGAGGAGAAUUAGAAGCAACAACUUGAGUCUGGCAAAGAAGGUAGCUUGCUUCCAAGGAGGAGGAAGUCUUGGAAUCCACUAAACUGAGUAUUCCAUCUCCAACAAGUUCCCUUCAGUCUAGUGUAAAUCAAUGGUACCCCUACUGUUCUGUCUAUUGUGUGGAGCAGCACCUGAGUGUCCAAACUGGGCAUUCCAAUGUAUGGUAUGGUGGAGCCGUCAUAAAGAAUUGGCUCAAAAACCCUAGGAGACUGAUACAAUCAUAUCUUUCUUUACUGGCAUC
This 376-nucleotide long non-coding RNA is filed under the name Amborella trichopoda. Its description in RNAcentral is "long non-coding RNA (ATRI_LNC003287)". Lineage: Eukaryota; Viridiplantae; Streptophyta; Magnoliopsida; Amborellales; Amborellaceae. The record is from RNAcentral.